GCCAGCCGCCGCGGUAACACCGGCGGCCCGAGUGGUGAUCGUGAUUAUUGGGUCUAAAGGGUCCGUAGCCGGUUUGGUCAGUCCUCCGGGAAAUCUGAUAGCUCAACUAUUAGGCUUUCGGGGGAUACUGCCAGACUUGGAACCGGGAGAGGUAAGAGGUACUACAGGGGUAGGAGUGAAAUCUUGUAAUCCCUGUGGGACCACCUGUGGCGAAGGCGUCUUACCAGGACGGGUUCGACGGUGAGGGACGAAAGCUGGGGGCACGAACCGGAUUAGAUACCCGGGUAGUCCCAGCCGUAAACGAUGCUCGCUAGGUGUCAGGCAUGGCGCGACCGUGUCUGGUGCCGCAGGGAAGCCGUGAAGCGAGCCACCUGGGAAGUACGGCCGCAAGGCUGAAACUUAAAGGAAUUGGCGGGGGAGCACAACAACGGGUGGAAGCCUGCGGUUUAAUUGGACUCAACGCCGGACAACUCACCGGGGGCGACAGCAAUAUGUAGGCCAAGCUGAAGACUUUGCCUGAAUCGCUGAGAAGAGGUGCAUGG
This 542-nucleotide ribosomal RNA is filed under the name uncultured archaeon. Its description in RNAcentral is "bacterial SSU rRNA". It matches the Rfam family "Archaeal small subunit ribosomal RNA", at positions 457 to 997 of the family's 1478-position model. The record is from RNAcentral.